This is a long non-coding RNA of Canis lupus familiaris (dog), 4586 nucleotides long. RefSeq lists it as uncharacterized. Lineage: Eukaryota; Metazoa; Chordata; Mammalia; Carnivora; Canidae. The transcript has 6 exons. The record is from RefSeq and is a predicted model, not a curated record.
UAAACUCAUGCGUGCUUAGGAGAGUCUCUAUGAUCUCACCCCAACCUUCCCUGAGUCUCACUCCUUGCCAUACCAGAUGUGGCACUAGUGUGAGCAUUCUGGGAAUGGUCACAGCUCCGUGUGCUGAGGAAGAGUCUCUCCCUGGGUCACUAGACCAGCCCCUAGGAGCCCAGAGGAGGAUCAUAAAUGAGCAACAUUCUCUGGGGCUGGGGCAAGAGGUCCCUGCAUCUCUCUGUAAACUCUGCCUGGUGGUGGGAGCUGUGGUAGACGCAGUCAUUGCUCCUGGUCUUCUCCCCACCUCUCUGAAGAUAGGGAGGGAGAGGUGAGGCAAAGCCAUGAGGGUCAAGUCAGUAAAGACUGCUGCACAUGCCACCUGGACCCUCAGCCUGCUUUCUGAUGCCCAUUUCCAUCUGAAAUGUAUUGAAGCAUUUUUUCUUCCUGAUACCCAUGACUACAGGCUGAUUGAGCAGAUACUACCAUAGAGACUGAUAUAGACAAGGAUGUAAAGCAACAUUCUGCCGUUCCUGGAAGAGACUGCUUUGAGAGGACUGCCCUCUGGUUUCAUGGCUGAGGGAUCCUAAUGAAACCCAUCACUGCAUUUGCAGAUAAGGACCAUUUUUCUAUAUAUCUUGAAAUUCUUGACACCUAGUGAAGGUACAGUGGCCAAGAAGGACAAGUGAGGACAUCACAUGAAAGGCCACACACAGAGAGAGAGGCAGAGACACAGGCAGAGGGAGAAGCAGGCUCCAUGCACCGGGAGCCCGACGUGGGACUCGAUCCCGGGUCUCCAGGACCGCGCCCUGGGCCAAAGGCAGGCGCCAAACCGCUGCGCCACCCAGGGAUCCCUUUCUUUCCAUAUCUUAACCUCUUUUCACAUCUGUGAUUCUCUGCCAGAGCCAAGCAAUGUGGAUAUGGUUCUCAAACAUUCCUUUUAAAAAAUGUAGCAUUUUGUCUGGUAUCUAACUUUGACAGGCACACCUGUUAUAUCUUGGUGACUUACUCAAAAUUUAAUUUUAACAUCUUGUUUUUUGUUAAAAAGCAGAAAACAUUAACUACUGUUCAGGGAUAUUGUGAUCACUACAUAAGUCACUCUAUGCAGAAUAGAAAACAAUGCACAUGGGUGUUCUUCACUGUGCUCCCUGGCCCCACCACUUGUUACAGACAUUUUGGGUGGGAUCUGAGAAGUUAAAAACCUCUUGAAACACCAACUAAGAGAAAUUUUUGAAAGAAUUAAUACUGGGGAGGUUAGAUGAUUGAAUCUUUUGAGAAGGUGUUGAGAAGAUAUCAGAAGAUAUUUCAGUGAUAUUUCAUGGCACUUAGCCUGUGCCAUAACCAACCUGAUUCUGAGAAAUGACUGCAAAGUUCUAAAAGUUCUUUUGGAUUAUGUAUCAUUAACUCCAAAAAGAUCUCCCAAGAGAUACUCUCAAAGGGCCCUACUUAAUGGCUUGUGCUGUCCUCCUCUGAGCUCAUAAGAUUUUUAGAGGGUAGAUAAAAAUCAAGCACUUAUCUGAGACCCCAGAAGCCAUGACAUGGUUUCAAGGCAGUCAACCAUCUGUAAAAUGUCUAGAAAGGCAAGUGUGUGCCAUCUUCUUUCUUUCUGGCCUCUAAUUUAUUGGCAGAGAAAUGUUAAGUGGAUUUUUUUAGAGAGUCACCAUAUUGCAGAAACAGAUUGAAGCAAGAUGGAUUGGAGAGAAUAAAGUUUGCUGUAGGAUAGAAUCAGGUCCAGAAAGGGAAGGCAUAUGGCUGAUGCCACAGCCUAGACAGCCUCCCUGAGUGAAGUGAAAGCUUCUUAAUUGUAAAGAGCCGCAACACUAGUAAUAUUUAUUGAGCAAUUACUUUGUGCUUGCUUUUUAUGAAUUGUUUCAAUGAUUUCUUAACAAACAUAUGAGUUAAUUACUAUAAUUUCAUUUUUUUUUCAAGUGAGAAAAUCUAGGCAACCUUCCUGAGGUUGUAUAGCUAUUAAGUGGUAGAGUCAAAAUUUGAACUCAUGGUCAAUCAGACUCCAAGUUAUGGAAAAACUUAAAAUGAAACUAGGCAUUAUUAUUCAGAAAAAUUCACCGACCCCGUGUUAUAGAUUUAAUUUUGUCUACCCCGAAAUCCAGAUGUUGAAGCCCUAACCUCCAAUGUGAUAUAUUUAAAGACAGGGCCUUUAAAGAGGUAAUUAAGUCAAAUAAGGUCAUGAAGGUGGGGCCCUUAUAGAAUAGGACAAGUGUCCUUAGAAGAAGAGGAAGAAACACAAAGGGUAAUGCACAUGUACAGAGGAAAGGUCAUGUGAGGAUACAGUGAGAAGGUGGGUAUCUACUAACCAAGGAUAGAGGCCUCAGGAGAAAUCAAACCAGCCAACACCUUGAUCUUGAAUUUCUAGCUUCCAGAACUGUGAGAAAAAAUAAAUUUCUGUUGCUUAAGCUACUCAAUCUGUGGCAUUUUGUUAUGGCAGCCGAUGCAAACCAAUACACCUCACCACCUUUAUGGGUGGAGAAUACUUUGCCAUCCCUUGAUUUUGAGUUUAUUGGUGUGAUUUACUUUGGUCAAUGGAAUGUUAGCAGACCUGAUAUGAGUAGAGGCUUAAGCAACAGCUAGGGGUUUGGGCUUGCUGUCUUGUGCCUCUUCUAGUGUUGUGAGAAGGACACGCUCCAUCCAGCUGGUCCAAGGAAGAUGAGAGACAGUGGAAUAGGGCCUUGCAGCUUGAAGCAGAGCCACCAGGCAGAACUUGGCCUAAGUCAGGCAAUGCUAACCUGCUGUAGUUUGAAGUCAAGUCACCCUAACUCAUCCCUAUAUUUGUGACAGUGAAUGAUAACUAUUUUAAACUUCUGCAUUUUUUUUUAGGCAGCACCACUGUAAUGAUAGCUAAUGGAUGCAUUAAUCAAAGGUUAGAAUAGGGAACUUUACAUAAUUUGUGCACAAUGCUAUUCUCUGGCUGCUCACAAAGGGUAGGCAUGGAGCAAUAUUUGGAGAAAAGGUAGACAAAUGGUUGCUCUAAUAUUUUUCUCAAGUUUUAGGUUAGGAGGAUAAACUUCAUUCCUCUAAAAAUAUGUAUAGGGUGGAAUUGAACCAGUAUUUUCUUUUAGGACAAUACUUAAAUGGAAAGAAAGAGACACAAAUACAGAGACAGAUGAACAGAGAACAGGCAUUUUGGACUGAGUUAUGCUGAGCUCAAAUGUCCUGACUUUGUCAUUAGCUAUGUGUGAUCUAGCACAAGUCAUACAACCUCACUGAAUUUCAGCUUUUCUAUUGUAAAAUGGGAAUGCUAAUAAUAUUAUCCUUCACAUCCACAUACAAUUUUAUCUCCCCACACAUGGGUUCUGCCUGCCUAACUGGAAACAUCUGACUCAGAGCAGGUACUCUUUAUUCUGCCUCUUUACAGUCAAGAAAUCUUAAAGGGAUGGGGCAUGGUGGGGAAGAUUUGAGAACCACAAAUUUAGGUGGUUCUUAGGGGAUUAUUUUUGCUUCUUAGGUUCAUGGAGAUAUUUAGCUCAGAGGGGCCAGCAGGAUAGGAUGAGGCUGCUUUCCUUGCUAACUUAGGUUGAUUGUAAAGCCUUAAAUCUUAAGUUUGUGGUCCAAUGGAGGAAGAUGUUGAUUCUCAGACCACCAGAGCUGAAAGAGCCCAUUGAGGUAUUAUAGUAUGUAGCUUUCUCAGCCUUGAAAAAUGUAUAAACUCUGCUUUGACAAGCUGGACAAGCAAGAGUUACUUAGCCUUUUUGAGUCUUUGUUUCAUUAUCUAUAAAAAGAGAGUAAUAGUAGUGUAUGUCCCUUUUUGUGUAAAGGUUUCUAUUAUUAUGGAAAUCACAUUAAACCAAGGAAAGCUAAAGCUCAUAGCACAGCAGAUAAAGGCUCAUAAAUAUGAUCUUGGGAUAUUUAAUUUAUUAACUUCAGUCCCUUUCUUUUGCAGAUAAAUAAACUGAGGCUCCCUAAGGUGAGCUGAACUUUUCCAAAGUCACAAAGCUAUGAAGUGCCAAAGUAGAACUAGACAGGGGAAAAUUUUGCAAGUGACGGAUAUCUGAAGAGGAGCUAUCCCCACUUGUUCAGAUUUUAAGCUAUAGGUGUAGUCUGGAGAUGUAAGAGAGGAGGUUAAAACUAUGAAUUCUCACUAUUGAAAACAAUUCAGCAUCUAGACUGUUACUGUUGUAAGAAUACUCUCUAAAGUUACUAGCUUUGCUUAACCUGUUAUACUGCCAGUGACAGGAAGCUCAUUACCUACCAUAUUACUGCAUUCCAUCUUGAGCAAUUUGUUAGAAAACUUUUCCUUAUGAUGUGUCUUAAUGUAAUUCCACUUCUGGAACUGCACAGAAUGAAUCAAAUACUUUCUUCAUAGCAUAAUCUUUAAAUAUUUGAAGACAGCUCUUGUGUCUCCUGCUCUGACUCUUCCAUCCACACAUACAUUCAGCAAGCAUGUAUUGGAACUACAUAUCAGGAUUCUUUAGUAGUAAUAUAUAGAAAACUCAAACUGACUUAAGCUUUGCAUUUUUUAUUUAUACAUUCAUUCACUCAUCUAUUUAUCUGACAAAUUUUUAUUGAGUACAUUUUUAUGUUUCCGUCUCUGUUCUACAUGUGGAGGAUAGAACAGUAAAUAUAAUAGUCCUAACUCA